GACGAACGCUGGCGGCGUGCUUAACACAUGCAAGUCGAACGGAAAGGCCCUUUUGGGGUUCCUCGAGUGGCGAACGGGUGAGUAACACGUGAGUAACCUGCCCUUGACUUCGGUAUAACUUCAGGAAACUGGGGCUAAUACCGGAUAGGAAUCCUUGCUGCAUGGUGGGGGUUGGAAAGCUUCGGCGGCUUUGGAUGGAUUCGCGGCGUAUUAGCUUGUUGGUGGGGUAGUGGCUUACCAGGGCGCUGAUGGGUAGCCGGGGUGAGAGGGGGACCGGCCACACUGGGGGUGAGAGGCGGUACAGGGACUGAGGGAAGGCCCAGGCGGCGACGGGUGGCAGAAGGGGGGAAGACUGAUCCAGGCGCGGAGGGCGGGUGCAGCAACGCUGCGGGUGGGAUGACGGCUUUGGGGUUGAAAAACGCCUUCAGCAGGGGCGAAGCUUGUGGUGACGGUACCUGCAGAAGAAGCACCGGCUAACUACGUG
This 484-nucleotide ribosomal RNA is filed under the name uncultured bacterium. RNAcentral describes it as "partial 16S ribosomal RNA". It matches the Rfam family "Bacterial small subunit ribosomal RNA", at positions 28 to 507 of the family's 1533-position model. The record is from RNAcentral.